GACGAACGCUGGCGGCGUGCCUAAUACAUGCCAGUUGAGCGAUGAAGAUUGGUGCUUGCACCAAUUUGAAGAGCAGCGAACGGGUGAGUAACGCGUGGGGAAUCUGCCUUUGAGCGGGGGACAACAUUUGGAAACGAAUGCUAAUACCGCAUAACAACUUUAAACAUAAGUUUUAAGUUUGAAAGAUGCAAUUGCAUCACUCAAAGAUGAUCCCGCGUUGUAUUAGCUAGUUGGUGAGGUAAAGGCUCACCAAGGCGAUGAUACAUAGCCGACCUGAGAGGGUGAUCGGCCACAUUGGGACUGAGACACGGCCCAAACUCCUACGGGAGGCAGCAGUAGGGAAUCUUCGGCAAUGGACGAAAGUCUGACCGAGCAACGCCGCGUGAGUGAAGAAGGUCUUCGGAUCGUAAAACUCUGUUGGUAGAGAAGAACGUUGGUGAGAGUGGAAAGCUCAUCAAGUGACGGUAACUACCCAGAAAGGGACGGCUAACUACGUG
RNAcentral lists this ribosomal RNA (497 nucleotides) under uncultured bacterium. Its description in RNAcentral is "partial 16S ribosomal RNA". It matches the Rfam family "Bacterial small subunit ribosomal RNA", at positions 28 to 507 of the family's 1533-position model. The record is from RNAcentral.